Molecule: ribosomal RNA, 505 nt
Filed under: uncultured bacterium
Lineage: Bacteria
Description: partial 16S ribosomal RNA
Rfam family: Bacterial small subunit ribosomal RNA
Source: RNAcentral
GACGAACGCUGGCGGCGUGCCUAAUACAUGCAAGUGGGACGCAAGGAAACACACUGUGCUUGCACACCGUGUUUUCUUGAGUCGCGAACGGGUGAGUAACGCGUAGGUAACCUGCCUAUUAGCGGGGGAUAACUAUUGGAAACGAUAGCUAAUACCGCAUAAUAUUAAUUAUUGCAUGAUAAUUGAUUGAAAGAUGCAAGCGCAUCACUAGUAGAUGGACCUGCGUUGUAUUAGCUAGUUGGUAAGGUAAGAGCUUACCAAGGCGACGAUACAUAGCCGACCUGAGAGGGUGAGCGGCCACACUGGGACUGAGACACGGCCCAGACUCCUACGGGAGGCAGCAGUAGGGAAUCUUCGGCAAUGGACGAAAGUCUGACCGAGCAACGCCGCGUGAGUGAAGAAGGUUUUCGGAUCGUAAAGCUCUGUUGUAAGUCAAGAACGUGUGUGAGAGUGGAAAGUUCACACAGUGACGGUAGCUUACCAGAAAGGGACGGCUAACUACGUG